GGUCUUAUAUUCAAAUAAUGAUUUUAGACUGCAAUUCUAAAGGUGUAAGUUUUACUAAGACCU
This 63-nucleotide transfer RNA is filed under the name Gryllodes sigillatus. RNAcentral describes it as "tRNA-Cys". Lineage: Eukaryota; Metazoa; Arthropoda; Insecta; Orthoptera; Gryllidae. The record is from RNAcentral. RNAcentral also lists the same sequence under 1 other name.